Molecule: long non-coding RNA, 3199 nt
Organism: Phyllostomus discolor (pale spear-nosed bat)
Lineage: Eukaryota; Metazoa; Chordata; Mammalia; Chiroptera; Phyllostomidae
Exons: 2
Source: RefSeq, a predicted model, not a curated record
CACAGUGGCAAACUGAUCGCAAAAGUGGUGCUUCAUGUUGUCUUUCUGUUGGGUGGUCUGAGUGUUUACAACAGAGUUUAUGCUGUAAUUGAUAGUAAUUGAUAGUUGGAAAAAGUGCCAGGGACAUUCUCAAACAAAAGCCUUACCCUCAAUGGACUCCUACUCAAUCUCCUGUUAAAGAACCAAAAGUGCCUUCCCUUUCAGGCUGAGAUGAAGUCUACCUUCAACUUUUCACCAAAAAUCAGUCCUGUCCUUAUCCACUCAGCACAUGAGGACAAGAGACACUUUAUAAAUGUGUGCCAAAUUUAAACACAUAAACUAGAUGCAGAUAGUCAAAUGAAAAGCACUAAGGCUAUAGGAUCUAGGUUCACAUAAAUAACUUGUAGUUUUCAAACUGUAGGGUAUGUGCAAUCACGAGGAAGCUUGUUAAAGUUGAGAUUCCUCACUCCUGCUCCCAGAGGCAUCCUGCUUCAGUUGGUCUGAGCUCUGAAAAUCUUAAUUUUUUCAGUAAGUAGUUCAGGUACAAACAAGAAUUCUUCUUGUGUGGCUAACUGAGCUUGUCAGAAGAGACACAGCCAGGAACACAUGGGAAAAAGACUUCGUGAACCAGGUACCUUAUAACUCUGUUUAGAAAAAAUGAAAAAAUAACUUGAAAGCCCCAGAUGGAGAAAUGAUUUGGUAAAUUAUGGUACAUGAAUAAAAUGAAAUAUUUUGUGGCCAAUAAAAAUGACACAAAUACAUAUGUAGUGUGAACAUAAGAGAAUUGUGAAUUCAGGACGAUUACAAUGAUGUGGACAAAUAAUGGGAAGGUAAUAGCAGAAAUAGACAUGGUUGUCUUUAAUAUUGUUUAAUUGCACCUAUUCAUUAUUUUGUUAAAAAGUUCACCACAAGCUCAGUAAUAAAAUUUUCAUACAUUUUCCAUUCUGUAUUGAUAAUUAGCUCUGAAACACAUCCAUAGAAGAUGCAGUCCUACCUGCAACCAGCUGUUGGCCAAGGGUUGAGAGAAAUGCCAAGAGAGAUCCAGAAAAAAAAAUCAUAGGAUUUUGGCCAAAAGAUCUGUGUUACAAUCUUAGCACCAAAGUCAGGGAUGUUAGCAAAUAUCUUAACCUCUGUUAGCACCAUUUUCCACAUCUUGAACAUGAGAACAGUAACAGCAACAAUAACAACCUCUACCUCAAAAGUUGUGAUGAUGGUUAUACGAGGCUAAUGAAAAUGAAAAUACUUUAUAGACUAUAAAUGCAAAUAGAAACUAUUUCCUCAGAUGUUAAUGCAAAAUGAAAUAUUAAAAUGUCAACACUGAGAAAUCUUCCUCCUGGGAGGUUUUUAAAAUCACCAAUUUGUUUGGAAACUCCUCUCGGAUCUAUUUAAUAGUGAUUUUUGUAAUCAAGCAACUCUGAGGCUUGUAUGUGUAUAAGACAACAUUUCCUAACAGAGAGGAGUGAAUAGCCUCAGGGCAGUCAAGCACAAUGUAUACUUCGGUCCUGGCACACAGGGUCAAGUGAAGCUGUGUCUACAAGUCUUGACCUUCAAUAGGCUCCUUUUCCUCUUUGUCUGUAGAAAGUGAUGUAAAAAGCCCACUGCUAUGUAAAAAGCCCAUGGACAUAUUACGUGGAGUUUCCAUUCACUUUCUUUCUCCUCUCACACACCUGUGCAGAUUGUGUGUCCAGCUCUUGUUGUGGAUCUAAGGAAUCUGUGGCCUGGCAACAGACAGCAGGAGACCAUUCCUUUGUGCACUCCCAUCAAAGGCUCAGCUAGGACACUGUCUUGACAGAUGUGCUGCCUGUUUUGCUGGAAAAACUCUGACAAGGUUGGAGGAGGGGUCAGUUUCUUUCCCUCCCAUGGGAAGGCAGCCAGGUAAUGUUCCCCUGGAAAAGGAGUGAGAGAAUUAUCUGGAUUCUUCCAGUAAGGCCAAAAAGUCCUUGUUAAUGUCAUGGUCAUUUUCACAGUGUUUAUCAAAGAUUUUCUGCUUCAAUGUAAAGCUUCUAAAUAUGGCAUUUUCAUGAGCCUGGCUGGGAUGUGGCCAAAUGCCUGAGGCAUAUAAAUAUUUACUAAAUAAGCAAAUGCAUUUGGACACAUGUUUCCGCCUCAGCAUUAGUGUGGUGGUCACUGGCAUUAACUCUCUGAGUGAAGCCAUUUUAUGAGUUAUCCCAGCAGAGACUAAGGAAACAUACCCAUAUCCAGGUCUUUAAGGUCUACAAAGACCAUACAGGAGAGUCUACAUUUUCUGAUGGAAGGUGGCAUUUUAUAUACAGAAAGGCAGGAGUGACCUCAUUCUUUGCUAAGCAUUCUUGCAAAGUGUGGUGGGAUAGAGAAGACUACAGAGCAUUAGCCUCUGUCAGCCUUGGAUUCAAGUCUCAGCUUUGGCACACUCUUUGACGUCCCAUAAAUAACUCACCCUCUCUGAACUGUAAAUGAGGGACAGCACUCCUCAUUCCACAGGGUUUUGUGAGGAGUAGGGGAAAUGAUGUAUAUAAAGCAUCUGGCCAAUACCAUGUACUCAUUAAAUACUAGUUUUCCGUUAUUUUUAAUUUUUGUAUUUUUUUUAAACCUAGGAUUUUUCCAAAUCUCACAUUCCCUCCCCAGGAUGUUCCUCUGAAGUUGUAGUAUACAUGUGUGAUGGAAUUGAAUCCACAUGUUCUUCAUUUGUGUAAGCUAAAAAAACAUCACUAUGUUAUUCGGGAAGAUUUGUUUGAUGUUCAGAAAUUCUAAAGUGGGAGCACUGGAAGAGUCUCUGACAUGCUCCUAGGAUGUCCUAUUCAGUCACAGUUCAAAGAGGCAUGGGUAAUUGCUUUUUAUGUCCUGUCCACUUAGACCAGCCUUGAAAAUAACCAUUGGCCUAUAAAAGAGCCAAGAUUGAAAUGUGAUUGCAUUCUGUUUGCUAUAAAAUAUCUCAAAUAUUUUCUCAUUUAAUCAUCAAAACAAUGCUGUGUGACUGUGUGAUUAUUAUAUCAUUGUCUAGCUUUACAGAUGGGUAAACUGAGUCUCAGAGGGCUUAAGCAACUGAUUAAUUGGUAAAAGCGAGUUUCAUCGCAUUUUCUGUCUCCAUAUCUAGAGCAUGCCACAAUCACAUGGGGUCUAGAAAUUAGAGGUUGUUAAAUGUGAUCCCUCUUUCCCUUUGACUUAGUCUUGCUUGUUUUUCUCUGGGACUUCCCACAGACGUCUAAGCAUUUAGGCAGAUCUUGUGGACUCAUUGUGCAGU